This 253-nucleotide ribosomal RNA is filed under the name uncultured bacterium. RNAcentral describes it as "partial 16S ribosomal RNA". It matches the Rfam family "Bacterial small subunit ribosomal RNA", at positions 524 to 776 of the family's 1533-position model. The record is from RNAcentral.
AACGUAGGACGCGAGCGUUAUCCGGAGUUACUGGGCGUAAAGCGCGGGCAGGCGGUCUGACAAGUCUGAUGUGAAAUCUCCGGGCUUAACCGGGAGAGGCCAUUGGAAACUGACAGGCUGGAGGGCAGUAGAGGUAGGCGGAAUUCCGGGUGGAGUGGUGAAAUGCGUAGAGAUUCGGAGGAACACCAGAGGCGAAGGCGGCCUACUGGGCUGCACCUGACGCUGAGCCGCGAAAGCCAGGGGAGCGAACGGG